Molecule: ribosomal RNA, 518 nt
Filed under: uncultured Sphingobacterium sp.
Lineage: Bacteria; Pseudomonadati; Bacteroidota; Sphingobacteriia; Sphingobacteriales; Sphingobacteriaceae
Description: bacterial SSU rRNA
Rfam family: Bacterial small subunit ribosomal RNA
Source: RNAcentral
GAGUUUGAUCGUGGCUCAGAGCGAACGUUAGCGGCGGGCCUAACACAUGCAAGUCGAGGGGCAGCACAGGUAGCAAUACUGGGUGGCGACCGGCAAACGGGUGCGGAACACGUACGUAACCUUCCUUUAAGUGGGAGAUAGCCCGAAGAAAUUCGGAUUAAUACCCCAUAAGAUCAUAGAGUGGCAUCACUUAGUGAUUAAAGAAUUUCGCUUAAAGAUGGGCGUGCGGCUGAUUAGGUAGUUGGUGAGGUAACGGCUCACCAAGCCAACGAUCAGUAACUGGCGUGAGAGCGCGACCAGUCACACGGGCACUGAGACACGGGCCCGACUCCUACGGGAGGCAGCAGUAAGGAAUAUUGGUCAAUGGACGCAAGUCUGAACCAGCCAUGCCGCGUGAAGGAUGAAGGUCCUCUGGAUUGUAAACUUCUUUUAUAUGGGAAGAACCACUUUUAUCUAAAGGUGUUGACGGUACCAUAGGAAUAAGCACCGGCUAACUCCGUGCCAGCCGCCGCCGUAAG